This 71-nucleotide transfer RNA is filed under the name Cytophaga hutchinsonii. Its description in RNAcentral is "tRNA-Cys". It matches the Rfam family "tRNA". From Rfam's summary of the family: Transfer RNA (tRNA) molecules are approximately 80 nucleotides in length. Their secondary structure includes four short double-helical elements and three loops (D, anti-codon, and T loops). The record is from RNAcentral. RNAcentral also lists the same sequence under 2 other names. Lineage: Bacteria; Pseudomonadati; Bacteroidota; Cytophagia; Cytophagales; Cytophagaceae.
GGUUUCGUGGCCGAGUGGCUAGGCAGAGGUCUGCAAAACCUUCUACACCAGUUCGAAUCUGGUCGAAACCU